Molecule: transfer-messenger RNA, 392 nt
Filed under: Candidatus Geothrix skivensis
Lineage: Bacteria; Pseudomonadati; Acidobacteriota; Holophagae; Holophagales; Holophagaceae
Rfam family: transfer-messenger RNA
About the family: Bacterial tmRNA, also known as 10Sa RNA or SsrA, is named for its dual tRNA and mRNA-like properties. Its role is to liberate the mRNA from a stalled ribosome. To accomplish this part of the tmRNA is used as a reading frame that ends in a translation stop signal.
Source: RNAcentral
GGGGGUGACUGGUUUCGACAGGUCGUGAUCCAGGUGCACGGUGCAGGCGGGGGUUGGACGGAUGGCCCCCUUAUCAAUCCGCCCACAUCAAACUGCCAACGAUAACUUCGAACUGGCUCUCGCUGCCUAGGGCAACCUAGGCUCCGAGCGAGUCCCCGGGAUCUCUGGGUACCGGGCUCGUUAAACCCCUGAAAGGGUGGCUUCGGCCUGCCGGACAGGGGCACCAGAUAGGCCGCCGCGACGCACCCUGACGGUGGCCGAGAUCAGGGGGCAAACGUUCCGAGCGGCUCGUCCGUUCCCCGCCGGAAGGUUUCAAGAACGGACCAAGCCUGUGGAACGAACCGCCAUCCGGCAUGUCUUGGACGUGGGUUCGACUCCCACCACCUCCACCA